This is a long non-coding RNA of Solanum tuberosum (potato), 687 nucleotides long. RefSeq lists it as uncharacterized. The record is from RefSeq and is a predicted model, not a curated record. The transcript has 2 exons. Lineage: Eukaryota; Viridiplantae; Streptophyta; Magnoliopsida; Solanales; Solanaceae.
UUUGAGUACCUAAUCAUCAUAUCUCUCUCUCUCUCUCUUUUUUUUCUUUCUCAAAGCCUCUCAAAGGCUGAAAAAAUAGGGUUAGGGUUUAUAGUGUUAGGUAUGAUGAUGAUGAAGUAGAAAAGUUUUAUAUAUUGUGUGUGGUGAGUUUGAGGGGGAUGUUGUUUGGCUCGACACAAUUACUCUCUUGUAUGUGUUUAUUUAUUCGUCAUCAAGAUUGAUGUUGAUAACGAAUAAAUUAAACACAACAAGAUAUGUAAAAAGGGAGUAAAGGCGUCGGACCAGGCUUCAUUCCUCUCAAACAAUAUUCUACUUCUACACAAAAACACUUGUGUGUUUGGUCGGUUUUUCUCUACCAAGCUAGGGUUUUCUUCCAAGAAAAAAACAUGAAAAUUAUUACAUAUAUAUGCCCUUGUAAUUUUUUAUUUUUUUGUAGUAGAUUUAUUUUUCAUCACCUUGAAAUUAAGUCACUGAUCUUAAUGUUAGAGAAGGUGCUGUUUGUUUUCCAGGGAGGGUUAGACACAGAGAUUAUGUAUUUUGGUAGCUAAUUAAAAAUUAUGGUGACAAAUGUACUCUUUUAGUAAUUAAUUGUUAGAUCUUUUUAUGUAAUCAGCAGUGAUGCUAAUUAGUGACUCUGUAACUGUAUUCAUAUUCAUAUAUAUAUUAUUUUUGUUUAUUCUUGUUAUA